Molecule: ribosomal RNA, 173 nt
Filed under: uncultured bacterium
Lineage: Bacteria
Description: partial 16S ribosomal RNA
Rfam family: Bacterial small subunit ribosomal RNA
Source: RNAcentral
AGUUGCUAGUAAUCGCGAAUCAGCAUGUCGCGGUGAAUACGUUCCCGGGCCUUGUACACACCGCCCGUCACACCAUGAGAGUUGGCAAUACCCAACGUACGUGAUCUAACCCGCAAGGGAGGAAGCGUCCUAAGGUAGGGUCAGCGAUUGGGGUGAAGUCGUAACAAGGUAUC